UGUAAACGAUGUCGAUUGGAGUUUGUUGCCUAGAGUGAUGGGCUCCGAAGCUAACGCGAUAAAUCGACCGCUGGGGGGUACGGCCGCAAGGUUAAAACUCAAAUGAAUUGACGGGGGCCCGCACAAGCGGUGGAGCAUGUGGUUUAAUUCGAUGCAACGCGAAGGACCUUACCUGGUCUUGACAUCCAUAGAAUUCUGCAGAGAUGUGGGAGUGCCUUCGGGAACUAUGAGACAGGUGCUGCAUGGCUGUCGUCAGCUCGUGUUGUGAAAUGUUGGGUUAAGUCCCGCAACGAGCGCAACCCUUAUUCUUUGUUGCCAGCGAUUUGGUCGGGAACUCAAAGGAGACUGCCGUUGAUAAAGCGGAGGAAGGUGGGGACGACGUCAAGUCAUCAUGGCCCUUACGACCAGGGCUACACACGUGCUACAAUGGCGUAUACAAAGGGAAGCGAAGGUGCGAGCUGGAGCGGAUCUCAUAAAGUACGUCUAAGUUCGGAUUGGAGUCUGCAACUCGACUCCAUGAAGUCGGAAUCGCUAGUAAUCGUAGAUCAGAAUGCUACGGUGAAUACGUUCCCGGGCCUUGUACACACCGCCCGUCACACCAUGGGAGUGGGUUGCACCAGAAGUAGAUAGCUUAACCGCGAGGGGGGCGUUUACCACGGUGUGAUUCAUGACUGGGGUGAAGUCGUAACAAGGUAACCA
RNAcentral lists this ribosomal RNA (699 nucleotides) under uncultured Enterobacteriaceae bacterium. RNAcentral's name for it is "bacterial SSU rRNA". It matches the Rfam family "Bacterial small subunit ribosomal RNA", at positions 801 to 1502 of the family's 1533-position model. The record is from RNAcentral. Lineage: Bacteria; Pseudomonadati; Pseudomonadota; Gammaproteobacteria; Enterobacterales; Enterobacteriaceae.